RNAcentral lists this long non-coding RNA (1371 nucleotides) under Triticum aestivum (bread wheat). RNAcentral's name for it is "long non-coding RNA (TAES_LNC011355)". Lineage: Eukaryota; Viridiplantae; Streptophyta; Magnoliopsida; Poales; Poaceae. The record is from RNAcentral.
CUAGUUUGACAAUCACGACAAUAUACAUGUUGGAAACUGAUAUUUAGAUAAUGAUAACUAAAGACCACAAAAGUGUUGUCCUCAUGAUUGUUAUGUAUCAUUCAACAACUAUCUUCCAUCACAAAAGGAUGGCCUUCAUGCAUUAUCAGGAUUGGAAAAGGACUACUAAGUUGCUCAAUCCCUUGAUUGAGAGAAAGGCAACCAGGUUCUCAAUUUUUUGUUGCUUCUUUUCCCAGGCUUACUCUUGUCUUGCCGGCUCUUCUUCGAAACUUCAAACUUUCUUGAUACUUCCUCUUUUUCUUGUGAUUCAAGUCUUGCAGCUAACUCCUCCAUGUGCCUAUAAAAUUGACGAAUCACAACACCAUUGCUUGCUUAUUAGAUGAAAAUAGACAAGAUAACAUGGUACAAGAGUAUUAACUUAUGAAAUUGAAAUGAGAAUUACCUUAUUAAAUGUAUAGACAGACAUGCAGAUGGGCCAAUGAAACACUAAAUGCAAUAUCAAGUUAUAGUGGUUAAAGAACUUGCAUAAGGAAGAGCAAGAUUUCAUCUAUCAAUCUUGAAAAGCGGCAAGCUUCAUAAAUCAGACGAGUUAGUAACUCAAUUGUGUUUUCAAUUUUACUGUCAUGAGUGCACUGUGCACACAAAACAAGAAAAUAAGAAAAAACAAGAACAUAAAGAGAAAAACAUAGAAGUACCGGUCAUUUGCAUUUCUUGCCUCUGUACCCUUCUGUUCAGUGCUUUCUUCUAGAUCGAAUACAUGAAGCGGACCUCCUAGGCAUCCAGUAUUUGUGUAUUUGCCAUGGUAGAACCUUUAGGUGCCUGGGUAAAGAAGUCCGAGAAAAAGCAGUAAAUCGACAUUUGACUUAUGAAGGUCUUCUAAAAAAAUUCUUUAGCAUGAGUUCUUCAUGACCAAUACCAUCUGCUUGGUAGAGUAUAGUUACUAAAUGUUUGGAAGAGUGAAGGAAUAACAUCUACAUUCGUAAUAGUAUUAUUAGUACAUGGUGCCAUGUCACAUAUAAUUGGCAUAGGCUAAGAAAGUAGAUGAAAAUAAACUACAGCGCAACUGUGCAACUAAUACAUUCGAAAGGGAUAAAAAAACAAAGGCAAUCUAAGCUGUUUCCCCACUCGCAAUGAAACACGUCUUCAUCUUUGAUCUAUCUUACCUGAUAUUCUAGUUUAAAUCUGAGUAUAUGCCUCGCAACCUGCAAAGAGGACUCCAUUGUUAACAUGGGAAAGUGUAAAACGCUACCCGAAAUCAAUUUUGGGCACAGCAGACGGAAUUUUCAGAAACUACUUAGUAAAGAAAAGGGAAGGUUAUACGUUGUAGAAAGGAAAGAAUCUAUGACCACCACCGUCCUUAGCCAGAGCCUG